GCAUCGGUAAUUCAAUGGCGAGAAUGCUCGCCUGCCACGCGGGCGCGGGCCCGGGUUCGAUUCCCGGCCGAUGCA
RNAcentral lists this transfer RNA (75 nucleotides) under Cordylochernes scorpioides. RNAcentral's name for it is "tRNA-Gly". It matches the Rfam family "tRNA". Rfam says of the family: Transfer RNA (tRNA) molecules are approximately 80 nucleotides in length. Their secondary structure includes four short double-helical elements and three loops (D, anti-codon, and T loops). Further hydrogen bonds mediate the characteristic L-shaped molecular structure. tRNAs have two regions of fundamental functional importance: the anti-codon, which is responsible for specific mRNA codon recognition, and the 3' end, to which the tRNAs corresponding amino acid is attached (by aminoacyl-tRNA synthetases). tRNAs cope with the degeneracy of the genetic code in two manners: having more than one tRNA (with a specific anti-codon) for a particular amino acid; and 'wobble' base-pairing, i.e. permitting non-standard base-pairing at the 3rd anti-codon position. The record is from RNAcentral. Lineage: Eukaryota; Metazoa; Arthropoda; Arachnida; Pseudoscorpiones; Chernetidae.